CCUACGGGAGGCUGCAGUGGGGAAUAUUGGACAAUGGGGGGAACCCUGAUCCAGCCAUGCCGCGUGUGUGAAGAAGGCCCUCGGGUUGUAAAGCACUUUCAGUGAGGAAGAACGCCUGGUGGUUAAUACCCAUCAGGAAAGACAUCACUCACAGAAGAAGCACCGGCUAACUCCGUGCCAGCAGCCGCGGUAAUACGGAGGGUGCGAGCGUUAAUCGGAAGUACUGGGCGUAAAGCGCGCGUAGGUGGCUUGAUAAGCCGGUUGUGAAAGCCCCGGGCUCAACCUGGGAACGGCAUCCGGAACUGUCAAGCUCGAGUGCAGGCGAGGAAGGUAGAAUUCCCGGUGUAGCGGUGAAAUGCGUAGAGAUCGGGAGGAAUACCAGUGGCGAAGGCGGCCUUCUGGACUGACACUGACACUGAGGUGCGAAAGCGUGGGUAGCAAACAGGAUUAGAUACCCUUGUAGUC
Molecule: ribosomal RNA, 465 nt
Filed under: Vreelandella stevensii
Lineage: Bacteria; Pseudomonadati; Pseudomonadota; Gammaproteobacteria; Oceanospirillales; Halomonadaceae
Description: partial 16S ribosomal RNA
Rfam family: Bacterial small subunit ribosomal RNA
Source: RNAcentral